Myotis lucifugus (little brown bat) is the source of this 164-nucleotide non-coding RNA. Lineage: Eukaryota; Metazoa; Chordata; Mammalia; Chiroptera; Vespertilionidae. The record is from Rfam.
AUACUGACCUGGUGGGGGAGAGACCAUGAUCAUGAAGGUGGUUUUCCCGGGGUGAGGCUUGUCCAUUGCACUCCGGAUGUGCUGACCCCUGCGAUUUCCCCAAAUGUGGGAAACUCGACUGCAUAAUUUGUGGUAGUGGGGAAUUACAUUCGCACUCUCCCCUA